Molecule: ribosomal RNA, 1034 nt
Filed under: uncultured bacterium
Lineage: Bacteria
Description: bacterial SSU rRNA
Rfam family: Bacterial small subunit ribosomal RNA
Source: RNAcentral
CUCCUACGGGAGGCAGCAGUGGGGAAUAUUGCACAAUGGGGGAAACCCUGAUGCAGCGACGCCGCGUGAAGGAAGAAGUAUCUCGGUAUGUAAACUUCUAUCAGCAGGGAAGAUAGUGACGGUACCUGACUAAGAAGCCCCGGCUAACUACGUGCCAGCAGCCGCGGUAAUACGUAGGGGGCAAGCGUUAUCCGGAUUUACUGGGUGUAAAGGGAGCGUAGACGGACUGGCAAGUCUGAUGUGAAAGGCGGGGGCUCAACCCCUGGACUGCAUUGGAAACUGUUAGUCUUGAGUGCCGGAGAGGUAAGCGGAAUUCCUAGUGUAGCGGUGAAAUGCGUAGAUAUUAGGAGGAACACCAGUGGCGAAGGCGGCUUACUGGACGGUAACUGACGUUGAGGCUCGAAAGCGUGGGGAGCAAACAGGAUUAGAUACCCUGGUAGUCCACACGGUAAACGAUGAAUACUCGCUGUUUGCGAUAUACAGCAAGCGGCCAAGCGAAAGCGUUAAGUAUUCCACCUGGGGAGUACGCCGGCAACGGUGAAACUCAAAGGAAUUGACGGGGGCCCGCACAAGCGGAGGAACAUGUGGUUUAAUUCGAUGAUACGCGAGGAACCUUACCCGGGCUUAAAUUGCAGAUGAAUUACGGUGAAAGCCGUAAGCCGCAAGGCAUCUGUGAAGGUGCUGCAUGGUUGUCGUCAGCUCGUGCCGUGAGGUGUCGGCUUAAGUGCCAUAACGAGCGCAACCCUUAUCUUUAGUUACUAACAGGUCAUGCUGAGGACUCUAGAGAGACUGCCGUCGUAAGAUGUGAGGAAGGUGGGGAUGACGUCAAAUCAGCACGGCCCUUACGUCCGGGGCUACACACGUGUUACAAUGGGGGGUACAGAAGGCAGCUACCUGGUGACAGGAUGCUAAUCCCAAAAGCCUCUCUCAGUUCGGAUCGAAGUCUGCAACCCGACUUCGUGAAGCUGGAUUCGCUAGUAAUCGCGCAUCAGCCAUGGCGCGGUGAAUACGUUCCCGGGCCUUGUACACACCGC